AUUGAACGCUGGCGGCAGGCCUAACACAUGCAAGUCGAGCGAGCGGCGGACGGGUGAGUAAUGUCUGGGGACUGCCUGAUGGAGGGGGAUAACUACUGGAAACGGUAGCUAAUACCGCAUACUAUCGGAUAACCCAUAUGGGAUUAGCUAGUUGGUGAGGUAAUGGCUAACCUAGGCGACGAUCCCUAGCUGGUCUGAGAGGAUGAUCAGCCACACUGGGACUGAGACACGGCCCAGACUCCGACGGAGGCAGCAGUGGGGAAUAUUGGACAAGGGGCGCAAGCCUGAUGCAGCCAUGCCGCGUGUAUGAAGAAGGCCCUAGGGUUGUAAAGUACUUUCAGUCGGGAGGCGUUACCGACAGAAGAAGCACCGGCUAACUCCGUGCCAGCCGCCGCGGUAAUAC
This 403-nucleotide ribosomal RNA is filed under the name uncultured bacterium. Its description in RNAcentral is "partial 16S ribosomal RNA". It matches the Rfam family "Bacterial small subunit ribosomal RNA", at positions 30 to 526 of the family's 1533-position model. The record is from RNAcentral.